RNAcentral lists this long non-coding RNA (218 nucleotides) under Elaeis guineensis (African oil palm). RNAcentral's name for it is "long non-coding RNA (EGUI_LNC073976)". Lineage: Eukaryota; Viridiplantae; Streptophyta; Magnoliopsida; Arecales; Arecaceae. The record is from RNAcentral.
UGUUUCCUCCGAUCGCAAGGCACUCGACUCUCUGAAGGUCGUCGGAAGUAUGUCGCACCGUGAUGAGCAUCGAACAAAACUAAGGGAAGCAUUUUGCACUCUCUUCUUGGCCAUUGUAACUUCUGGAAGAAUGUUUCUCCUCCCCCCUACCUGGCGUGCCAAACUGUUGCGGCUCAUCUCUGGUGGGGUAGUCAGAUCGUCAUGCCUGAGUGUGGAAU